UGUCUUCUGAGGCGUUCGCCAGGUGGCGUUCAAUCCCUUGAGCCUUAAUUUGCGACACUGGGUGUAACAAACGGUUCUGUGUGCAGGUCCGCCAAGCAGCGGAAAGCCUAAUGAGCCGGGCGGAGCGCCCAACUUGAACCUACAUGGUUCAAGGUCGAAGCGUCAUCAGCGGCGUCCCGGAAGACCC
RNAcentral lists this non-coding RNA (187 nucleotides) under Halothiobacillaceae bacterium. Its description in RNAcentral is "6S RNA". It matches the Rfam family "6S / SsrS RNA". Rfam says of the family: E. coli 6S RNA was the first non coding RNA to be sequenced, but its function was unknown until recently. It consists of 184 nucleotides that fold into an extended hairpin structure with a large single-stranded internal bulge. The record is from RNAcentral. Lineage: Bacteria; Pseudomonadati; Pseudomonadota; Gammaproteobacteria; Chromatiales; Halothiobacillaceae.